Long non-coding RNA from Daphnia magna, 867 nucleotides. RefSeq lists it as uncharacterized. The transcript is spliced from 3 exons. The record is from RefSeq and is a predicted model, not a curated record. Lineage: Eukaryota; Metazoa; Arthropoda; Branchiopoda; Diplostraca; Daphniidae.
GUCGUGACGAUCGGCUGUUGUGAACAAUGGUGGCGUAGGAUUGCAUCCAGACCCAUCCGCCAUCCCUGGUCAAGAAUCUGUAAUAUUUCGUUGUCACUUGACCCUUGAACAGAACUAGACAACAACAAAAAAAGAGACAACGGGAACUGCGAAGAUGACCUAAAACAAGCGAAGGCGGAUCGAAUUGUCUUCAUGUCCGGUCGGGAUGGAGCAGUUAGACGGACUAUAACAUCUAUCGAAAGGGCGGAAAACAUUUGAGCACAACACUUUGUUCGGGACGCCCUUCCGGGUUGACUGUAUGGGUUUAAGCAAAAAUUAUUCAGCGUGGUUGUCAGUUUGCAGAGGAGUCUUCCAAAAUCCAUCAUCGGAUAUAUUUCAAAAAUCACUGAGGGGGCAAGAAAAAAAGGGGGGGUUUUUUAAAUAAUCAUUUCUUCAGGGUGGAGUCACUGUCAAGGAUACCGCCCAUCCUAAUUAUCCAUCCAUCCGUCUUAGUAGAAGCUGAAUAAAGAGAGUCUCUUAUGCAUCCCAACAAACAUCCGAUUUUUUUUUUAAAGAAAGAAAGUUUUGUAUUUUGAUUGUCAACUUGUUUAAAGGGGCGUAAAAUCAGCGUUGCCAAUAAUGAAUAGCUAAAAAAAAAAAAAAAAGGCGGGCGGAUGGAGUUGGGAAUAGAAUCCACGGUGCCCGGCACACUCCCCUCAAUGGGGGGUCUUUCAAAGCAAAAAGCUUAUUCUUUUCCGCCAUUCCCAUUGUGUGUAUAGACCCUUCUCUUUUUCUUUUUUUUUUUUUAGUGGGAAUAACCGGUGCCAUCAUCAACGACAAAAUUGUGUGAUGAUAUUAUUCGUCUGUUUUUCCGCUCCGGAAUGAAAA